GGUUCCCCCUGUACUCACCUGUGUGCAGAGGGCAGGCAGUAGUGGCACAAACCAAGAACGUUGGCAAGUCUGAUAAUAAUUUAAUUGUAAAAUCAUGUUACAUACACUUAUCAUUUCUUUAUCUUGCUUAAAUUCACAGGGUGCAAAACAAGGCCCGGGAGAGAAAAUUACGGUGAUGUCCACAAAUCCAAAGCAGAGAAGGUAAGGAGCACACUAUACAAAGACAACAGUGGAGAGCUGCUGAUUCUGUCUGUCCUCAAAGUGCCAGAGAUCUACAAGGACUUCACCCCUGUUUCUGCACCAUCACCUGCAUAAUCCAAGUGAUAAAAGAGAGAACAAACUAUUGUGUUCUCUGCUUACAUGAAUAGGUGCCUGUAAUGUCUGCCCACAUAUACAAUCAAUUCAAUAAAUGUUGAUAAGUAUCACUGAUAUUUCUUAAA
Sander lucioperca (pikeperch) is the source of this 440-nucleotide long non-coding RNA. RefSeq lists it as uncharacterized. The transcript is spliced from 2 exons. The record is from RefSeq and is a predicted model, not a curated record. NCBI's taxonomy places the organism in Eukaryota, Metazoa, Chordata, Actinopteri, Perciformes, Percidae.